GCUGUCAGCUUCCACUUUCUCCACCUGCAGGACAGGCACAGUCAGCUGAGCAGGUUUCUCAGGGAGCCCCGGCUGCUGUGAGCCUGGUGACCAAGAGCCGUCCUUCUGUUAAACCUGGGUUUGCAGACUCUAAGCCCUCCGCUCUUUCAUGGACACACUACAGAAGAAAGACAGGUACGCCUUGGGGGUCCUAUUGGGAUAAGGAACCUCAGGACUGAGAAAGCAAGAGAUUCUCAAUCCUUAUAAAAGGCACUCUGUGUUAAAACCUGAGAGCCUGAAAAUGUCAUUUCCUAGCUGAGUGUCCUUGGGCUGGUGGAGAAGUGAACAAGGUACAUACUUCAAAUACCGAGCACACCCCGGCACGGCACGUGGUAAGCUCCAGGCAAUUGCCUGGGCAGCAAAGAUGCUCAGUGAAGCCUCACUGUUAAGAGCAAAAAAUUAGAAACUACGUAUCCAAUAAUAAGGGAAAUAGUUAACUAAUUAAGCAAUGUCUAUGUCCUACUAAACAGCCAAAAAAGAGGGGAAAGAGGAAGGAGCUAAAGGAAUGUUGUAUAGAUCAUUAUGGACCCUUAAGUGAAAAGAGCAAGUUAUCCAACAGUUUGGCAUUGGGGACAGACAGACUUGAGUCUAAGUCUCAGCUCUCCUAGCUGUCUGUCUUAGGCAAGGUUCUUCAACUGCUCUAAGCUUCAGAGACAGAUAAAUGGGAGCUGUAAUUAUUACUUUAUUUUUAUCACUAUCAUUAACAAACCUAUGGGUCUGGUGUUCCCUGGUGGCCUAGCGGUUAAGAAUCCAGAGUGGUCACUGCUGUGGCUUGGGUUACUGCUGUGGCUUGGGUUCAGUCCCUAGCCCAGGAAUUUCCACAUACCAUGGGAGCAGCCAAAACCAACCAACCAACCAACCUAUGGGCCAACAUUGGCAGAGUUUCUGACUCCUAUUAUCAUCUGUCUAUCAUCUAGUAUUUCAUCUCCCCAACAACCCUGAUCUUAAUACCUUUUAUUCAUGAAGACACUGAGGCUCAGAGAAGUUAAACCUUGAUGACAAAGUCCCCAAGUCAUCAGUAGGGUAGUCAGGAUUUGAAUCCAGUUCUGCCUGGCUGCAAGUUUCAUACUCCUUAACCCACUGUACCCUGCUGGCACCUGGCACGGAUAACAAACUUUCAGUGUCAUGGGAUCAUCGCACUUUAUUUCUGAGAGAGUCAUCCUGGGACACUGCUGGAGC
This 1218-nucleotide long non-coding RNA is filed under the name Sus scrofa (pig). Its description in RNAcentral is "lncRNA (ENSSSCG00015013349.1)". The record is from RNAcentral. Lineage: Eukaryota; Metazoa; Chordata; Mammalia; Artiodactyla; Suidae.